RNAcentral lists this long non-coding RNA (11502 nucleotides) under Capsicum annuum. Its description in RNAcentral is "long non-coding RNA (CANN_LNC013293)". The record is from RNAcentral. Lineage: Eukaryota; Viridiplantae; Streptophyta; Magnoliopsida; Solanales; Solanaceae.
CUUAUGCCAUAAAAUUUUUUUUCUCUCUUUUUUUUUAAUUGGCCAGACAUUUUUCCUCUUGGCCAAAACAUUUUCCCUCUCAUUUAAUUGACAACUCUCAUUCCCUUCCCCCCCNNNNNNNNNNNNNNNNNNNNNNNNCCCCCCUCCCCCUACCCAAAUCACCCUCUUUCUCAUUUUCUCCCAAAUCACUCUCUCUCUUAUUUUCCCCCAAAUCGACCCUCUCUCUCUCAUUUACCCUAAAUUGACUCUGGUCGGCCGUCCAUUGCAACUCCGGUCGGUCACUGCACUAGGUGUUGCAAUUGAGCUGGACUCCGAGGUUGGUGCACUUCCUUGUGUUGACAGAUUAAUGUAAGUCCUGAAAGGAACACUUGUGUCAAAUUGACUUUUGUGCUUGGAUUUAGUAGAUUAUACUCAAAAUGAAUACUUGUCAAAUUCACCUAAUUAAACUAGUUUUGGUUAUGUAACUUCCGUACUUUGCAUAUUUCAGCAGAAUGUUGGCUUCUUUUGAACAAUUUUAAAUAGUUAUUGUUUUUUAACAUAUAGAAUUCGAGUGAUUUUUUUUUUACUUAGCUAAAAUUUGUGUGUAAUAGUUGAAGUAGCAAAUGAUAAACAAAAAAGGUGAUAAUCGUGCACAGCAGAUGAUUAUUAGUGAUAUUUUGUGCUUUUAGUUCAGAGUUCCUUUGAUUGAAAAUAUUAAUUGAAUCUGCUCAUCAAAAUAAGAAAUAUGUCCUGUUGUAUAUUUGUCGAACGUCGUGUCUUUAUGUGAUUUUGGAGCUUGGAGUUUUUAAAUUUAAAUGUUCCGUGAAAUGGGUUCAUUCUAUUAUACUCAAAUUUCUUUGCCUUGAGAUGAUUUGGAGCUUCAGAUUUCAAUGAUUCUACGAAGUGAGUUUGUUGUAUUAUUGUUGAAUUUCUCGUCUUUAGAUGAUUUGGAGCUUCAGUUUUACAUUCUCGCUUCUGAUACUUCGAUAUCACCCGUGCACCAUCUUUUUAGUUAAGGUUAAGACUUCAUUUUUCUUGGUUCUGCAUGAAGAGAAAAAUUUAUGGUUAGGGAUCUUUAUAUGAGUGUGGGGUUAAACGUGAUGUAUAGAUGGAUUUUAGGUGUCUAACAAUUCCUAGUUUGCCUUAAAAGGGGGGUGGGGGAUUCUAUUAACAUUGGAAUGAAACUAGCCCAAAUUGAGCAAAAUGUUAUAGAGGAUUCGUAUAUCCGACACUAAUUAAUUUAGGAUCGAGGAAUUAGUGACUUUGAUUGAUUUAAAAUGUAUAGUUGCCCCUAUUUGGUGGCUUGGAUUUUUAUCCCUUGGUAUGUUAUAGUUACUUUUCUUGGUGAUAUUAAGGGGGAGCACCCAUGACCUGUAGGAUAUUAAGGAGGUACCAAAGAAUAAAUCGGAAUGUAGGAUGAAGGGUUCUAUGGCUAGUUUUACGGCUUAAGCUGGCGGAUAUUGCUCUUCAAUAUGAAAGUGGUGAAGGUUGACGGCCAGUGACUUAAAACAGUGUCAACUGUGCUUUAGGAUGAAGAUGUUUCUGAAGGGUGUAUAUAAUUUUAUUUCAUGAAACUCAAUCAAGUCAACUGGGAAAUUUCAUCAGAUAUGUCACACCAAUGAUAGAUAAGAUAUAACGAUAUAACUGUCAGUAAUCUUGAGGUCAAGGGUGUGGUUAACAAUUAAUGAAGCUAUAAUGGAUUAUGAAAAAACAAGGUUCAAAUUUUAGUUUAGAAAAAAGAUGUGAAGUGAUUUCUUUCCAACUAUGUAAGCAUUGGUGGACAGGUUUACCGAUAAAUAUGUUGAGUGGGAAGUAGCAGGUACUCGAUGGGUUAGUCAAGGAGUGACAAGUUGGGACGGACACAAUAUGUGUAAAAAGGAGUCGUGAGGUCAAUUAUUUCUGUCUCCUUGUUGAAAUAGGGUCAAUUACAAUGUUUUAUUAGUUAUGUUGUGUUAAUGAUAUAUGAAUUGAAUAAAUAUUGAAUUGUAGGUUAUGCCUAAAGGCACAAUUAAAUUUGAGCUAAAAUUAAAAUUUAUAAUUUGUUAUUGAAAAUUAAUGGGCCCCACUAAAUUAAAAAAUAAUAAUAAAAAAUAAAAAUUGCGGAGAUUUUAAACCACCGCAAAAUAAUUAUGGCGGUUGAAAAAAAAUUGCCGCAAAUUAUUUGUGACGGAGAUCGUAUUGUGGGGAUUUUGGGAACCGUCAGAAUCGCAAUUGCGGGGGAUUUAAAACUCCCACAAAUCUUAAAUUAACCCCCGCAAUUUGAUCCAUUUUUUGUAGUGUAUGGAUGUGUAGCUGGAUUUUUGUAUCAGUAAAAAAUGGAUAACAUUUAAAAACAUACAUCUUCAUUAUUUAUUAUGCAUUUGUAUGUAAGGUUUUGAGUGCUAAAAAAAAUGAUAGUUGCUGUAAUAUCUGCUCUUUUGAUGUUGAUAUCAUCAUACUAUUCCAUUGAAUAACUGAAAAUUGAAGAGAAUCUGCAGGCUCGAACACCUCUUGUUCUGAAAAGCACAUGAAUCCGAAUGCUAUAUUGAAUGUGCGAUUUUUUGGUUCAUUAUUCAGGAGAUCUCUUCUACUAUUUUUUUGAGACAAGAAGUUUUCAAUAAGGCUUUCUUAUUUGCAAUAACAUAUAAAUUUUUAAAUUGUGGCAAGGAUCUUAAAACUAUGGUGUCACAAAAAGGAAUUAUCUAUGAAAAAAUAAUUUGAGCUUCAAUUUUUUCUAUUAAAAGUAAGCGCGGAGGUCGUACUUUUGUAUUAAAUUGAUAUUCAAAAAAUACAAUUUUGCAUAUUUAUUCAUUUAUUUCAUACACUAAAAUAAAUAAUAACGUAUAAUAUUUGGUGAAAGUCGAUUUCAAUAUCAACUUCUGCAAUCAUUAUACUCAUUUCAUAUCGAUUUUAUACAGAAUUCAUACACUAAAUAAUUUAAUAAGUAUAUACAAGAUAAUUUUCACUAUAUUAUUCUUAUGAAAGAUUUCGAUCUACAUUCAAAUCCUCAUUUAUGUUGUUACCAGCACAAACUGGUUGUUCAAUAUUUUUUUCUCUAAUACCCAUUGACAUAUCUUUUAUUGUUAUAUACAAUGAAUAUUUAACAAAUAAAUUGACAAUAAUCCUUAUAUCGGAUUUUUUUGAAAGAACAAUAGGAAAAUAAGAAGAAAGAGAAUUUCUUAUGAAGGAGAAGAGUAUGUUCAUGAACAUUUAUCACAACAAGACGUAGAAGAAUAAAAAACUUUGUUGCGAUUGAGUACUUCAAUGGAGAAUGGAAACUAAAGUGAAGAACUCUUAAUCCAUGUAUAUGAGUGACUGUUGAAAAAUUCAUACGAAUAAGUGAAUGUUGGGAAACCCAACUUCAUACACAUGAGAAUCAGAAGGAGAGAAAAAGACGAUGAAAAAAAUAUUGUAAAGAGUGAAGAGUUUUAUCGGUAAAGAAAUACUGUAUAACGUGACAAAGUGUAGAAAGUAAAUUAUUAAAGUAGAUAAAAAGUUAAAAACCAAAUAUGAAUGUAAAAAAAUAUAUUUACCAUAUUUGACUCCUUAAAUUAUGAACAAACUUUGAAACUUAAUUAUUAAAAUAAAAUAAAAAAUGAUUGAUACCAAAAAUAUAACUUGCCAUAAUUAUCAAAAGAUUUAAUGAAGAGUGAUAAAGAUUACAUGCUAUAAAUAAGGAAAUAAUAUGAACAUUAAAUAGUAGAAAUAUGAUUUUCCGAUAUUUAAGAAAGAAGAUUUUUCAAAAAGUUGCUAUAAGUUGGAAUUAUUUCUUUAGUAUAGUAAUUAAUGAAAGGUGUUGCUAUAACUUGUGAUAAACAAUCUAAUAAAUUUAUUUAUGAUAAUUUUCACUAUUUUUUAUAUUUUUAUUAAAAAGUGUUGUGGGCUGUGCUAGAGCUGUCAAAAUAGAUUUGGGCCGUUAGGUCAGCCCAUCCUUACUCUUUAUUUGAGUGGGCUUGUGCUAAGAUUUCUUAGGCCCUUCUAGAAGUAAGGCUCAAUAAUUCGGCCUCUCUUAAUCACCUAGCUUCAAGGCUGGGGCAAGACCAGUCCAUGGACCAUGACUAUAAUCUAUAAUUUAUUAAAAGUGUGAAAAAUUUUAAAAAAGUGAUUUAAAUCUUUUGCCCUUCAUUAAAAAUCUCCGCAAUAAACAAAAUCAUUUUUUCACUCUCUUCCUCAAAUAAUUUUUAUUAAAUUAUUCUCCUAAUUAAUAUAGGACUUUAAAUAAAAUAAUAAUUCCAUAUAUAAAUUCUUUUCUUAUAUUUUACUCAACACAAAAGGUAUUACAACAUUAAUAUUGAUACUAGAAUACUUAUCCGCGCUUUGUGGAGUUAAAAUAAUUAAUUAGUUGAAUAUCAACUUUAAUAAUAGAACAUUAAAUUUAAGAAUCAGUCAUCUUUCAUGAUUCUGCCAUCUUUUUUAUUAGUUUAAUAUCAUGUAUAAUUUCUUUGACAGGUAAAACAAGAAGACUAUUUUGAAUUAAACAUGACAACCUAUGCAAAUUAUGUGAAAUUAAAUACUGAAAAAUAAACUAAUGGCAUUACAAAAAUUUUGGGGAUACAAACCCGAUACAAUCACUCCUUUUCAUUAUUUUAUUUCUUAAUAUGAACUAUUGAAAGUUAUAUGUGAUAAAUAUAAAUGUAUAAAUAACAUAAUAUUUAAUAAGCUACACUAUUGCACUCUUUCUGAGGACGGAUUUGUUUACGCAUCUCGUCGAUAGAAGCAUAAUUCAUUUUCUUAUAAAUGAGAAGAUAGAGACCUAAUUGGUUGAUGGACACCAUCUUUCUAUAAGAUAGAGUCUUGAGCUAUAAGGUCUUUUCUCAUGCUCAACUCGUUCUGCCAUAAGAUAUUAAUACCAAAAAAUUAUAGAAAAGUAAGAAUCAAGAAUUGUGUAUAUUUUAAUUUAGAAAAUGAGGAAUAACUCAUUAAAUAUUUAAAAUAACAUACCUUAAUUCUCCAAUCCCCAACUUUUCAAAUAUUUUUAUUUAGAAAUUGAUGCAUCUUACACAGAAACAAAAUUAUAUCCUGUAAAUACGAGAAGAAAUAAGAUCAAACAAUACAAAAAAAUAAAAGAGUAAACAAUAUAAUACAAAAAUGUUCUCAUAAUUUUCCUAGAAAAUUAUCCAGGGAUGCUAUAAAGUUGAUCUAUAGUGCAGCAGGCCUGGCCAACAACACUAAUAAUAAUCACUGUUAUUUUGUUAAGAGUGAUGGACACUGCAUUGUAUUGUGUAAGAAGUUGGGGACUUUUGAGAUUUAUAUGGUAGAAGAAAACAAAACAGAAUUAGACUUUUGGGCUUCUAUAGUUAUUGAGAAUAUAACGUGAGGAAUCAAAAAGUUUUAUCCUCUUAAUUUACAUGGAACAUGUAACAUCAAUUGAAAAUAACUGAAAUCUUUAAUUUCUAUGUUAAUGUGAGAGUUAAAUGAGUGUUUUUUGAACUUUUAAUACACAAAACAUAAAUGGAAAAAAUAGGAAAAAUCAAUCAAUCAAUCAAAGUAUAUAUAUAUAUAUUAUAAAAGAAUGUUAGUCCAUCCUAUGUGGCAUGCGUAAGAGUCCUCUAAUUCUACUUAUUUUAUUUUUUUAUAUUAAUUAAGUUUUUUCUCCAUUUAAAUAUUUAUGUGUUUAAAGAAAAUUCAAAAGCCACUAUAUUUAACUCUAUUAAUUAUAUAAUAAUUUUAAGGAUGAGGAAGAGUGAGAGGAGUUAGUAAUGUGGAAGGUCUCUUAUAGUGAAUAUAUAAUACUCUAUUGGAAUGAGAUAGUGUAUAAUCUGAAAAUUCUUUAAUAUUGCUGCAAUGUUCAUUUCCACCUUCCUUUGCAUAUAUAAAAGAUAAAGUCGUACAAACCAAGUUUAAGCAACAAUAUGGCCUUUUAGGUUAAUAUUUGUCACACCCCCGAUUUUCCACCGCAUCCGACCCCGCUAGGGAGUUGGUUUUAGAGAAAAUGGGUCUUUCCAAUUAAAGUGACGUUUUGAAAAGGGAUUAUUUUAUUUACAGAGUCGCCACUUGGAAUUGAGUUUGGGUGUUCCAAGUCACCUUAUUGAAUCCCUAUUCAAAAAGNNNNNNNNNNNNNNNNNNNNNNNNNNNNNNNNNNNNNNNNNNNNNNNNNNNNNNNNNNNNNNNNNNNNNNNNNNNNNNNNNNNNNNNNNNNNNNNNNNNNNNNNNNNNNNNNNNNNNNNNNNNNNNNNNNNNNNNNNNNNNNNNNNNNNNNNNNNNNNNNNNNNNNNNNNNNNNNNNNNNNNNNNNNNNNNNNNNNNNNNNNNNNNNNNNNNNNNNNNNNNNNNNNNNNNNNNNNNNNNNNNNNNNNNNNNNNNNNNNNNNNNNNNNNNNNNNNNNNNNNNNNNNNGUUCAAGUGUUUGUGUGUGUUAUAUUGUGUUGGGUAAUAGUGGGGAACGUGGGAGAAGAGGUGUAGGGUAAUUGGGAAACAUGGGAGUUGGGUAGGUUUUAGGAUUUGACUAAGGGAAUAUUAAUAUCACUAGAUUAUUUAUUUAAAAUUUAAAAGAAGAAAACAAAUAUAUUUUUUGACAAUUCUUUUUUUUUAUAUAAAUAAAUAAGUAAUAAAAAUAAAUGAAUAAAAAAACUUAUUUUAAUAUGACUUUAUUUUUGUAAUUUUCCAAACUUUAAAAGCAAUCUUGUAAAAAUAAGAUAAAAAUUAAAUGUAUUUAUUAAACACUAAAUGACGUAAACAUUUAGUUUGGUCAAAAAUUAGGUGUUUACACUUAUUAAACAUUUACUCACUAUAAAAAUGAAUUUAUACUUAUAUAAGAACAUACCAACCUACUCUCAAUGAUGUUCCUGCUAAAGUCUAACCUCUGAUUCAAAUAUGUGAAACAAGAAUAUAUUUUCGAGAAAAUAAGGUUAAUAAUACCAAACUAAGGGCCAACAGUAGAUAGUAAAACAAACCAGACAUUGCUCGUCAAAUAUGAUGAUUCAAACUUCUACCUCAAUUUUCAUGCAUGUUAUCUAUUAUUUGAGUCUUAAGCCACUAUUUUGUCACUAAAUAAUUAGAAUGUUAGGUGUUAGGGAUUAUUUUAAACUUUUUUUUUUUUUUAAAAAAAUCUGCAUAACUAUAUCCAUGCCAACUUAUGAACCAUUCAACCAUUUAAUAUGCUAAUUCCAAGCAAACGUUGCACACACAUAAAAUGGGGCACUUAACAAGAUAAGUAAGGUAUUGAAUCACAAUACAAAACUUGCUUUACAUAUAUUGAUUCAUAACUCAAAGUAGCAUAAUCAAUAAGCGACUUCGUUCAUGGUUUAGAUUCACAACAAAACUUAUAGAAGUAAUAGUACAUAUCGGAUAAGAACCUGAAUGACGAAUUAAACCAAACGAAAAGCUCUAACGUCGUUAAUGGAAACUCAAACCGGAACCAAAACGUAACUCAACUCGUCACUAUCUUCCUCUUUGCUUCUUGUUUUCAGAACCUCUCUUCUGUGUUCUCUCUUUCUUUUUGCUUUUUUUUUUUCUUCUGUUUUUUUUUUCUUUUCAAUCCUUCUCCGUUUUUUUUUUUUUCCCGUGUGUGUGUUUUUUUUUUUCGUUUUUCAAGUGCAUGUGUGCAUGUGUGUUAUAUAUUUGUGUUUGUGUCGUGUGUGUGUGGGGGGGAGAGUGGGAGAGGUUAAUUAGGAGUGGGAAUUGUGGGUGGUUUGGGUAGUUUGAGUAAAAACUUGUUUAAAAUGUGACUCUAUUUUGUAAUUUUUAAGAUAAAUUUAGUAAAAAUAAGAUAAAUUUAAAAUAUCUAAUUUAAACCUUAAAACGAAAUUGAACACUAAAAUGACAAAACACUUAGAUUUGGUAAAAAAUUAGGUGUUUACAAUAUUUGCUUAAGCUUUGUGUUUCUUCUUACUACUUUUUAUUUGAGUUUUCUUACUAGACCAAAUGUGAAACAUGUAUUUUAAAGGUCACAUGUUUUUUUUAUUUGUUUGCUUUUUAUCUUUUUUUUUGUCCCUUCUUGAUUUACAAAUUGUAUUUUUCUGCAAGUUUUUUCUACAUAUGCAACACAUGCUUUUUUCAUCCUUUCUUGAUUUACAAAUUGUAGUAGAAACGAUUGACUUGAGAGGGAGUUUUUAGAAUGUGAGAAUCCGUUAGUACCGAGAGAAAUAGCGAGUUGAGUUUAUUACUUUGGAUAUGAUUUUUAUACUAGAAGGUAUUUUGACCUCAUUUUAAUUAAUUGUAAAUUUUUUAUUAUAUCUUUGGAUAGUCACUAAGGUUUCUAUUUGGCUAGAUUGAUUUAAUGCAUGUUGAAAUAAGGAAAAAUUUGAUGUACAGAUUGAAGGUAAUUCUGAAUGAGAGUUUAUUAUUUGACAUCACGAACUUUAAGGUUAUUAUUGAAAAUAAUGGAACAUAUAAACCACUUAGUUAGAAGUAACAUUUUUCUUCUUUUUGUUCAAUUCUCUCUAAUUUAAAUUAUGUGGUAUAUCACUAAAGCUCACAUUUAUUUAAUUUUAAUCCUCUUGAUUUUUCAUUAUAUUUUCUUAUCUAAAAUUCAACUUUCAUAAUUAAACGCCUCAAUUGAGUAUAUUUUCUUAAAAUAUCAACCUCUUAUCUGCUUAAUCACCCGUACAACUCAUUAAACGCCUCAAUUGAGUAUGUUUUCUUAAAACAUCAACCAAUUGAGAUGUUUUCUUAAAAAAAAAAAUCAUCUCAUAACCUAACAUUAAACUAUGUCAGCCAAUUAAAAAGGUUGUGAUAAAAAAUUGAACCCAUCCAAAAAGUGGAAGCUUGAAUGAUUAAGAAAUAUAUAUGAGUAUAUAUACUUAUUGUUGUAUGUUUUAGAAUUUUUAAUUGUUAUUUCUCCAAAGAUAAGAUAUGUAUUCUCCAAAAAUAAGACUUUAUAACAUAAAUUUAUACUCUGUAUCAAAGGAAAACAUGAAAUACUCUUCAAUUGAUUAUUUUAUUGCUAAUUUUUUUUUUUUGAUAUUUCGUUAUAUAAUUUUUUUUGGUUUUUUAAAUAUACAAUCUACCGAUAAUAAUAAAGCUAGGAAUAAAAGAAAAGAUAUGACAUUUUUCUUUGGUCAAGAAGUAAGUUUAUCUUUGUUCUCUUUUUGAAAUUUUCUUUAUUUUUUCUCAUUUAUGUUCUAGAUUAAAAUAAAUUAAAAACCACUCAUUUAUUUCUCUUAAUUAUAUUAAAUAUUAAAUGUUAAGAAACUAAAAAGUCACCAAAUUUUUUUACUAUCAUCACCCCUAAAACAAUUAAUAGUCACAUUCAUGACAUUAUUUAUUGUUUCAUAUUAUAGUUUACAAAUAAAAAUAUUAUAAGAUAUUGUAAACGUUAAUCGCAUUACCUUUUGGCGUGAUAAUAUUUUCGAAGCUUAUUACAUCCAUGUUAAAAUUUGACUUGAGGUAUAAGGUGAAGGCUACUUAGUGGAAUAUCGAUAAGAGUUAUAAAGAUUAUUGAACAUCGAUUCAUAUAUUUUUUAUUUUAAUUUUUAAUUUUUAAAGUUGUAAGAGUGAUGUUGCAUUAUUUUUUUUUAUAUUCAAAAUGUAUAUACUUGAUAAAACUAAAAAUAUGUAUAUUUUUGUUUUCGCAAAUUAAAAAAGAUAGAAUCAAAUAAAAAAAAUUGAAUACAAUUAUAGAAAAUUUAGGAAAUAAAAUAUUCAGAUUUGAAAAAUCAAGCAUUACAAACUAAUACUAAAAUUCAGAAUUCAAUUUUAACAUAUAAAAAAUAUAUAGACAAACAAAGAAAUUUGAAUACACCCAAACACUAACACAGAAUAUCCAUUAUAUAGAUGUAGGUAUGCGGUUAAGUAUUGUUCUUCGAAUCUCUUUUGUUAUAUAUUGUUAAUUGUUAGCCCUUAAAUAGAGGCAUUGUAAGACUUUUUAGAAAUGGUUGCAUUAUUUUUUUAAAAUUGUUAUUUUUUUAUAUUUAUUAUAUUCAUGCUCAGUCGAAAAAUUGGAUGAAGACUAUUAAGUGUUGUUCGGUAUUAUGGGAGUGGAUAUGGACAAAAACUCGAAAGAUUGUUCAUUAAUUUCACAUAUUUUUCAUCUAUUUUUUUGUGAUGGUUGAGGUUGUAAAAACGAGUCAUAUUAUUUAUUUUUUCAUAUGUUCUCCCUAUGAUUUCUCUUUAUUUUGUUUUUUAUAUGAGUUUUUGUUUGUUAUAAGUUUAUAGCUUCUUUUGGUUUAAAAUUGUAACUUUUUGACUUUAUUAAAAAUUUGAUAAUUACUAGUCAAACAUUUACCUCUACAAAAUCAAUUAUACAGAUGUUAGAAGUCUACUAAACAUUUCUUCAAAUUAAAUUAUAUAAAUUAUAUUUAAUAAUAUUAUUAAUAUUUUACCUUUUUUCAUAAUCGUGCGAAGCGCGAAUCAGUUUACUAAUGUCAAAAAUGAGAAUGCAAAUGAAGGCAUAUAGAGGUUCCACAUCACUUUCUCUAUUAGCUUCCUUUAUAUUAAAUAUAGAUUUAAGAUUCGUAACUUGAUUAAAACUGUAGCUAAUUGUAGUUAUUUGUUACCAACUAAAUUUGGAGUCCCCUUUUUUUGGGAGUUUGUAGUAGUAAGUUUAAAUAAUUCUAAAAGAAGUAAGUUGUAAAAGGCCGAAGUAAGGGAAGUAGAAAAAAUAGAAUAACAGUUGAAAAAAAGAAAAAUAGAAUAAUAGUUGGGAAAACAAUAUCAAUACGUUGGGGGUACUCAAAAUUAAAUCCUAAAAGAUUUACAUGAGGAAAAGAGAAUAAUAAUUGGGGUUAAAAAAUUCCCUCACCCAAGGUAAAAAAAAAAUUCACAAUUAAUUUGAUUUAUAAUUUCUUUAGGUUUGAUUAUUUAUUCUAGCAAGAAAUCAUAAUAUUUAAUAUUUCUAAAUUAAUUAAAAUUUUACCCUAAAUAAAUAAAAAAUUCUAUCAAAUUAAAUUGUUCGGUGUUCUUUGGUACACACCCGAACUUCCUCUGAAUUUUUUUCAAUUUGUUAUUUGUUAUGUCUGUUCCUUAAUCUUUUGUGAAUUCAAUAUGAUAUAAUUGCUAAUUACAAUUUCAAUUCAUUUAUCACGAUGUUUUUGCUAUAUUUUGUUGGAAGUAGAAAUAUUUGAUGGCAAAGAAUUUUUAUAACUAUUUCUUGAUGAGCUUUUGAUAGUGAAGAUAUUCUUAAAACUACUUUUCUGGUGAGCUUUGAAGGUGUGGUGUAUAAUAAUUUCAUCAAUUUCAAGCUUAUAUUAUAUAUGAAUCUCUGAUUGAACUUUUGUGUAACGGUUAGGUUUAAUCAUAUUAUUUUAAUAUCUUGAUUAUUAUAUUAUUUUGUUAUAAUUUUUGUUCACUUAAUUUUUUCUGCUUAAUACAUGUGGUAGAUGAUUUUGACAAAUUUUAAUAUAAAGAUUAGAUUUAAUUGUAUUGUUAUGAUAUCUCAAUUAUUAUAUGUAUUUUUGUAGUUUACAGGUGGUAGAUGAAUGUUCAGUUGGACUUUGAGAAAUUUUUUGCAAAUGUUAGGUUUAGUCGUAUUAUUAUGAUAGCUCGAUGAUCAUAUUGUUUUGUUGUAAUUUUUGUUUUGUUGCUAUUUGUUGUUUUUGUUAUUAGUCGUUGUUUCUUGUAAUUUCGUUACUUCUUUUGGAUUGUUAUUGACUUUUUUUCCUUUAGCC